AUGGCUGGAUGAUCGCACUUUAAUGUGAGGAAAGUCCGGGCUCCAUGAGACACAGUGCCGGGUAACACCCGGCGAGGGUGACCUUAGGGAAAGUGCCACAGAAAAUAUACCGCCAUUUUGGUAAGGGUGAAAAGGUGUGGUAAGAGCGCACCGCGGAUAUGGUAACAUAUUUGGCAAGGCAAACCCCACUGGGAGCAAGACCAAAUAGGAAUAACGUAAUAAAUGUCUCUUUUAAUGUUAUUCGGGUAGGUUGCUAGAGGUUUAUGGCGACAUAAGUCCAAGAUGAAUGAUCAUCACCACUAUUAGUGGAUACAGAACCCGGCUUAUAAGCCAUCUG
RNAcentral lists this RNase P RNA (337 nucleotides) under marine eukaryotic metagenome. Its description in RNAcentral is "Bacterial RNase P class A". It matches the Rfam family "Bacterial RNase P class A". From Rfam's summary of the family: Ribonuclease P (RNase P) is a ubiquitous endoribonuclease, found in archaea, bacteria and eukarya as well as chloroplasts and mitochondria. Its best characterised activity is the generation of mature 5'-ends of tRNAs by cleaving the 5'-leader elements of precursor-tRNAs. The record is from RNAcentral.